GACGAACGCUGGCGGCGUGCUUAACACAUGCAAGUCGAACGGAAAGGCCCUGCUUUUGUGGGGUGCUCGAGUGGCGAACGGGUGAGUAACACGUGAGUAACCUGCCCUUGACUUUGGGAUAACUUCAGGAAACUGGGGCUAAUACCGGAUAGGAGCUCCUGCUGCAUGGUGGGGGUUGGAAAGUUUCGGCGGUUGGGGAUGGACUCGCGGCUUAUCAGCUUGUUGGUGGGGUAGUGGCUUACCAAGGCUUUGACGGGUAGCCGGCCUGAGAGGGUGACCGGCCACAUUGGGACUGAGAUACGGCCCAGACUCCAACGGGAGGCAGCAGUGGGGAAUAUUGCACAAUGGGCGGAAGCCUGAUGCAGCAACGCCGCGUGCGGGAUGACGGCCUUCGGGUUGUAAACCGCUUUAGCCUGUGACGAAGCGUGAGUGACGGUAAUGGGUAAAGAAGCACCGGCUAACUACGUG
Molecule: ribosomal RNA, 468 nt
Filed under: uncultured bacterium
Lineage: Bacteria
Description: partial 16S ribosomal RNA
Rfam family: Bacterial small subunit ribosomal RNA
Source: RNAcentral